This 424-nucleotide ribosomal RNA is filed under the name uncultured bacterium. Its description in RNAcentral is "bacterial SSU rRNA". It matches the Rfam family "Bacterial small subunit ribosomal RNA", at positions 202 to 622 of the family's 1533-position model. The record is from RNAcentral.
AAGACCUUUGCGCUUUUGGAGCGGCCGAUGUCUGAUUAGCUAGUUGGUAGGGUAAUGGCCUACCAAGGCUUCGAUCAGUAGCUGGUCUGAGAGGACGGCCAGCCACACUGGGACUGAGACACGGCCCAGACUCCUACGGGAGGCAGCAGUGGGGAAUUUUGGACAAUGGGCGCAAGCCUGAUCCAGCCAUGCCGCGUGAGUGAAGAAGGCCUUCGGGUUGUAAAACUCUUUCAGCCGAGAAGAAAAGGUUGCGACUAAUAAUCGCAAUUCAUGACGGUACCGGCAGAAGAAGCACCGGCUAACUACGUGCCAGCAGCCGCGGUAAUACGUAGGGUGCGAGCGUUAAUCGGAAUUACUGGGCGUAAAGGGUGCGCAGGCGGUUUUGUAAGUCAGAUGUGAAAUCCCCGGGCUUAACCUGGGAACU